RNAcentral lists this ribosomal RNA (372 nucleotides) under uncultured bacterium. RNAcentral describes it as "partial 16S ribosomal RNA". It matches the Rfam family "Bacterial small subunit ribosomal RNA", at positions 338 to 707 of the family's 1533-position model. The record is from RNAcentral.
CCUACGGGAGGCUGCAGUGAGGAAUAUUGGUCAAUGGGCGCGAGCCUGAACCAGCCAAGUAGCGUGAAGGAUGACUGCCCUACGGGUUGUAAACUUCUUUUAUAAAGGAAUAAAGUGAGGCACGUGUGCCUUUUUGUAUGUACUUUAUGAAUAAGGAUCGGCUAACUCCGUGCCAGCAGCCGCGGUAAUACGGAGGAUCCGAGCGUUAACCGGAUUUAUUGGGUUUAAAGGGAGCGUAGAUGGGUUGUUAAGUCAGUUGUGAAAGUUUGCGGCUCAACCGUAAAAUGGCAAUUGAUACUGGAAGCCUUGAGUACAGUUGAGGUAGGAGGAAUUCGAGGUGUAGCGGUAAAAUGCUUAGAUAUAACGAAGAAC